UCCACGCCCUAAACGAUGCGAACUGGACGUUGGGCUCAAUUGAGAGCUCAGUGUCGAAGCUAACGCGUUAAGUUCGCCGCCUGGGGAGUACGGUCGCAAGACUGAAACUCAAAGGAAUUGACGGGGGCCCGCACAAGCGGUGGAGUAUGUGGUUUAAUUCGAUGCAACGCGAAGAACCUUACCUGGUCUUGACAUCCACGGAACCCUUGAGAGAUCGAGG
This 220-nucleotide ribosomal RNA is filed under the name uncultured bacterium. RNAcentral describes it as "partial 16S ribosomal RNA". It matches the Rfam family "Bacterial small subunit ribosomal RNA", at positions 794 to 1012 of the family's 1533-position model. The record is from RNAcentral.